AGGACGAACGCUGGCGGCGUGCUUAACACAUGCAAGUCGAGCGGUAAGGCCUUUCGGGGUACACGAGCGGCGAACGGGUGAGUAACACGUGGGUGAUCUGCCCUGCACUUCGGGAUAAGCCUGGGAAACUGGGUCUAAUACCGGAUAUGACCUCAGGUUGCAUGACUUGGGGUGGAAAGAUUUAUCGGUGCAGGAUGGGCCCGCGGCCUAUCAGCUUGUUGGUGGGGUAAUGGCCUACCAAGGCGACGACGGGUA
Molecule: ribosomal RNA, 255 nt
Filed under: uncultured soil bacterium
Lineage: Bacteria
Description: partial 16S ribosomal RNA
Rfam family: Bacterial small subunit ribosomal RNA
Source: RNAcentral